RNAcentral lists this ribosomal RNA (484 nucleotides) under uncultured bacterium. RNAcentral describes it as "partial 16S ribosomal RNA". It matches the Rfam family "Bacterial small subunit ribosomal RNA", at positions 30 to 507 of the family's 1533-position model. The record is from RNAcentral.
AUUGAACGCUGGCGGCAGGCCUAACACAUGCAAGUCGAGCGGAUGAAGGGAGCUUGCUCCUGGAUUCAGCGGCGGACGGGUGAGUAAUGCUUAGGAAUCUGCCCGGUAGUGUGGGAUAACGUCCGGAAACGGGCGCUAAUACCGCAUACGUCCUGAGGGAGAAAGUGGGGGAUCUUCGGACUUCACGCUAUCGGGUGAGACUAGGUCGGAUUAGCUAGUUGGUGGGGUAAAGGCCUACCAAGGCGACGAUCCGUAACUGGACUGAGAGGAUGGUCAGUCACACUGGAAGUGAGACACGGUCCAGAGUCCUACGGGAGGCAGCAGAGGGGAAUGUUGGACAAUGGGCGAAAGCCUGAUCCAGCCAGGCCGCGUGUGUGAAGACGGUCUUCGGAUUGUAAAGCACUUUAAGUUGGGAGGAAGGGCAGUAAGUUGAUACCUUGCUGUUUUGACGUUACCAAGAGAAUAAGCACCGGCUAACUACGUG